GACUGCACCUGCAGAGCUCCUGGGGAGUGUCCAGGGGGAUGGGCAGGUCCUGAUGCUGCUUCUGGCUCCCUGGUCCUGCUGCUUUAAUUGAUCUGUCUGGAUUAGUUAGUGAGUACCGGCCUUCUAGUCUUCUGUGCGGAAUUCUAAGUUUCAGGAAAAACAACGUGUCCCUGGAGGUUCUGCCAGCCCAGGACCCAGUUUCCUUGGUGACACCUGCCUUUCCACAUCCACAGCCACGCCCACUCAUAUAUAUAUGUCCUCUCUUCUAAGACAUCUGGUGUGGAGGCCAGUUUGCAGCAGGUGCAGACAUGGCUCCGGUCUCUUCUUCACGUGGUGAAGCACAGGCCCAGUAUGGAAUACAGGGCUUCCUCAUCAACUCGACUCUUAUGUUUCAAAAACUGCCUUCAUGUCCUUCCCACAGCCCAGAAAACCCUACCAGCAGCUUUCCUACCUCUAUUCAACUGACUUCUAAAGUAGUUUUCAAAAGCCUUUGCAAGACCUUGCCUUGUCCUGUCAUUCUUCAUCUGUGCUUUUGAACGAGACCACCACGCAAGCCUCCCUGCUCACUCUGGCCAUGAGUAACGUUGAUGUUGCACCCCUGUUUGUGACUGGUAGGCUGUUCCUAGGAGUGACCUUGUCUGAGCCAUCUUGGGUUCAGUACUUACCUGGCAAAGCAUCACUUGGAACUUGACUAGGAUUGCAGUAACAGAUGUUUGUGGGUGCGGGGAAACUGAGGCUGAGUCCUCUGCAAGAGCAACAAGUGCUCUUAGCCCCUGAAGAUCUCUCCAGCCCCCUGUGUUUCUCUUUCGGAAUCUAUACUAUAUAUGUUGUUUUUCCUGAGACACAUUUUACAAGGAUAGUAUGUGUCACUCUUCAGGAUAAAAUUUAAAGAAAUAGUCUGUAAAU
Arvicanthis niloticus (Nile rat) is the source of this 906-nucleotide long non-coding RNA. RefSeq lists it as uncharacterized. The record is from RefSeq and is a predicted model, not a curated record. NCBI's taxonomy places the organism in Eukaryota, Metazoa, Chordata, Mammalia, Rodentia, Muridae.